This 1114-nucleotide long non-coding RNA is filed under the name Struthio camelus australis. Its description in RNAcentral is "lncRNA (ENSSCUG00000011814.1)". Lineage: Eukaryota; Metazoa; Chordata; Aves; Struthioniformes; Struthionidae. The record is from RNAcentral.
CAGGUGCAGAUAUGCUAUUUAUUAUUUCCACCAUUACUGUAAGAGUCAAGUGUGUGAUUGUUAUUCACGAGGGCAGCACCACUCUCUUAUUUGCGCUGAAAAAUGCAAGCGUUGCCACUCAAAUAUAUUACUGCCCCUAACACACCUCCCUAACUAAACACGUUCAUCCCAUUCCAACAUGGUAGAUUUUUAUUUCAGAUAGGAGAUGUUCGCAUUCUUUCCUUGAAGUUCGUCUCCUCCACAUAUCAAAAAAAGUUAACAAAUAGGCAUAAUAUAUGCCCGGGGGAGCAGGGAAAACUGCUUUUCUUUUUCUUGGCUGGCUUAAUUCAUUCUGGAAUGGUGUGACUUUUCAUGACUGCGUUUGAAGGAAAAGGCUAACUUGCAGUGUAGAAGUAGCAUGAUAUAUUGUGGAAAAAUAACUUGCUGGCUUUCCUAAGAAACUCUCUUCUCCAGCUCCUCCUCUCGCUGUACUCCUUCCAGCACCCCAGAAUUCAUUGCAUCAGUGCAUGUUAUGGCACCUUGGGGAUGCGUUAGUCAUAAGAAUGGAGCUACUGGUGCUUUGCAGGCAUAUUUUAACUUUGGCUCUCACAUGAAUGCUCUAACACAUCCGUGCUGUCUGCACGUCUGGGUAGCAUUUGCUUGCGGGUGCCUCCUGAGAUUCCAGUCAGCUCAAAAAAGGAAACAUCUAAUUUAUAUUUGCUAAGGGAACAAUAAGAAAACUUCUCUUUGUACAUAUCUCUUUCUGAGACAAGCUCCGUGACUGGUCGCAACCUGUAAUAAAAAUGCCAUAUCCAAGAGAAUAUAUUUAAUAUUGGGACGGCAAAAUAGAACGAUAUGAUCUGUUUGGGGUUUCAAGUAGGCAGCAGGAACCUGAGUUACAGAGCAGAACUUCACGUGAUGGUGUCCAUGUGCAGACAGAAGAGAGUCCUGCUCCUCACCCUUCCACACUUCGUUCACCAUUUGCUCUACAGCAGCAGCGUUUGCGCCAGAAUAACUGAAAAGGGAAACUCUGCUGGUUUUUGUAGAUUUGGUUUCGGGGCAGCUUAAGCAAGCGCCUGUGCCCCGCGCUGCCUGGUGGUGCGUGUUGCCGAGGCCUUUUGCAAAGUCUGAACAA